GCAUUCAGAUCUUGCAUCUAGUGCCAAACUCUCAGUGGGAAGCUGCAGCUACAGAGCACUUCCAUCACUCAACCUGCAGCUGCUAAGUCAUUGUCUCAGGUUCCUAUUCGGAUUGCAAGAAUUCUUCCAAGCACUCCAUAGACUCUGAGCCUCAAGCCUGUACAAUUUUCCAUGUACAACUGUACAGGAAUCGCCACAUCACCCCAACCAUCAUACAGAGUUCAGUGCACACAAGUGACUAAGCACGGCUUGCUU
RNAcentral lists this long non-coding RNA (255 nucleotides) under Coccomyxa subellipsoidea. Its description in RNAcentral is "long non-coding RNA (CSUB_LNC000339)". Lineage: Eukaryota; Viridiplantae; Chlorophyta; Trebouxiophyceae; Coccomyxaceae. The record is from RNAcentral.